Long non-coding RNA from Onthophagus taurus, 568 nucleotides. RefSeq lists it as uncharacterized. The record is from RefSeq and is a predicted model, not a curated record. NCBI's taxonomy places the organism in Eukaryota, Metazoa, Arthropoda, Insecta, Coleoptera, Scarabaeidae.
UUUUAACAAUACUUUCAGUGAAAUAAUUAAUAUUUUUUAACUUGUAGUUAAUACGAAAUAAAUUAAUUAACCCGUUUUAAUAACUGAAUUAUACGUAUUGAAAUUGUAAUAAAAUAACAUAACCAAACAAAAUAAUAACUCAAAUUAAUCGUAUUUAAGAUUACUGAAGUUCUCGGAUAAGGAAACUUGGACUCUUCAAAAUGAAUCGGUAACAAAGAUUCUUGAUUGGAUUGGAAUAAUUCUUCGGAAUGGUAUACUGGAUUAAUUGGAUCAGGAACCGGUUAAUUUUCUUGUUUAUUAUUAAAGAUUUCAACGUCCAGCUUCAAAAAUACAUUCAAAUAUUUAAUCUACGGAUUUUCGUCCAAUUCUUCAUCAAAACUCCCAUAUGAUGGAUGGUUUUCGUUCUUGACAUGCUAAGAUUAUCGUUUUCAAUAGUUUCAACCCGACAAACAUGAAUUACAAUAAGGAAUUAAUGAAAAAUGAAAUUUGAGGUUAUGUUACUGUCAAAAUUCUACAAAAUUACUUCGUAUGGAUUAAAUACAAUAAAAAACUAAUGAAUUUUAACAUA